UGGAAUCCCCCUUUACAUCAUGAAAAUACGUCUCUUUUAUAAGCCCUAAUUGAACCCCCUCACUAAGUUACCCUUCCAUCACACUAUCUAGUGAAAAAGUCAUCUCUAGUCAACUUCUGAAGUGGCGCGACCGCGCUGGAAUUAGCCUGAAGUUGGGCGCGCCCGCACUCAAGUGUUAAAUCACACUUUUUUGCUCCAGGGACUCGCACGGCCGCACAGGAAAUGCACUACAAAUACGCGCGCCCGCGCGGUUGAUUUUCUACUAUAGUGUCCUUUGGUAAAAUGGUCAUAACUUUUGAUCCGAGAAGAGUUAAGGGGCCUGCCACCUAUCAAAUUGAAUCUCUCGACGAGCUCUACAACUUCUAUUCUUUGAGAAUUGAGAAAUAAUGCACGAAUGAAGUCUGAAAUUGGGUUGGAAGUGACUUCUAUGCAAAUGGCCAUCCAAAACAGUGACGUUCAACAUUCGUUGGUACAAAGGUCAUAACUCUUACAUCCGAACUCCGAUUGGAAUGAUUCAAGAUGUUUCGGAAAGCUUAGAAGUAGAUCUACAACAUAAUCCAAGUUCCAAGCCAAGAACAUGAAAUGAACAUGAAAGCCCAAACGAUCCCCAGAUUGCUUUUCCUUGCGUUUUCAUACCAAUAGUCGCUCACAUCGUUCCCAAAC
Molecule: long non-coding RNA, 663 nt
Filed under: Panax ginseng (ginseng)
Lineage: Eukaryota; Viridiplantae; Streptophyta; Magnoliopsida; Apiales; Araliaceae
Description: long non-coding RNA (PGIN_LNC002600)
Source: RNAcentral